GAUGAACGCUGGCGGCGUGCCUAAUACAUGCAAGUCGAGCGAACAGACGAGGAGCUUGCUCCUCUGACGUUAGCGGCGGACGGGUGAGUAACACGUGGAUAACCUACCUAUAAGACUGGGAUAACUUCGGGAAACCGGAGCUAAUACCGGAUAAUAUAUUGAACCGCAUGGUUCAAUAGUGAAAGACGGUUUUGCUGUCACUUAUAGAUGGAUCCGCGCCGCAUUAGCUAGUUGGUAAGGUAACGGCUUACCAAGGCAACGAUGCGUAGCCGACCUGAGAGGGUGAUCGGCCACACGGGAACUGAGACACGGUCCAGCCUCCUACGGGAGGCAGCAGUAGGGAAUCUUCCGCAAUGGGCGAAAGCCUGACGGAGCAACGCCGCGUGAGUGAUGAAGGUCUUCGGAUCGUAAAACUCUGUUAUUAGGGAAGAACAAAUGUGUAAGUAACUAUGCACGUCUUGACGGUACCUAAUCAGAAAGCCACGGCUAACUACGUG
This 497-nucleotide ribosomal RNA is filed under the name uncultured bacterium. Its description in RNAcentral is "partial 16S ribosomal RNA". It matches the Rfam family "Bacterial small subunit ribosomal RNA", at positions 28 to 507 of the family's 1533-position model. The record is from RNAcentral.